UGCAUGCGGUUUGAUACUGUGUUUCGCUUCGCUACAUUGUGGAGCGCGACGCGUCUCGUUCCCGUGUUAUGCUACCUAGACGCGUGUAUAUAUCGUUCACCUUUGAUCUUUGACCCCUUAUUAAUUAGGGAUAUUUUGCGUUUCUCGACCCUCCUACCGAUCGAUGCCGUUUUUUUGGGCUUUGCAAUGUGUGCGGUCUUGCCUAGCAUCUUGUGAGGGGUAGCGGUGAAUUCGCGUAGUAGCGCGUUGGCGCGGCGCGCCGACUGCGUUACCACGUGAUCAUCGGGACACUCCAAAUGGGUGUACGGUGGUCUGGGACACCCGGUAUAUACUAGCGAGAAAAGUUUUUACUUUUAUAAUUUUCCUAGUUUAUAAAAUAAACUCAAAAAACGAAGUAGCAAUGUUGCGAUGAGAUAAUUCUACACUUAAAUUUAAAAAUUUCUUUACAAUAAAAAAAAUACGCUGUUAAUGUACUGAUAAUUAGAUAAUAGUAAAUAUUUUCGGUUUUCUUAAAAUAAAAUCAACAGGUAAUAUACGAUUAGAAUCCCUUUUUAAUCAAUAAGAAGUCAACAAACCGAACUAAAAGUUAAAUCUUGCAUAACAUCCAUGUCACUCAAGGUCUGGGACAUUGCAUUUCUCGUUUUAAACCGAUACUGUACUAAAUGGUUCAGUGGAGCCACAGACAAAACAAGAAAAUUAAUUUUAAGACAAAAAGUUUUAAGCUGUCAGUUAAAAAUAUAAUAACGACAUAAAAUAAUAUAAUUCAAAAUGUUUAAUAAGUAAUGUUCCCUCUAAUUUUUUGAUGGCGUGCCAGAAAAAUCGUCACAGGUAAAAAAUACGAAAUUUCAAAUUGUAUUAUUGUUUUCAUAGCUUGUGAUUUAAUAUAUAAAACAGAAUGCAACACAGUUCACUAAUGUUUUAAAAUUAAAAAUCGGAUAGUCUGCUCUUGUACUGUGAACCAGCAAAUGUGCUCGAAAAAAUUUAAAGCUGCACAGACAUAUUGUCCAUGCAGCUUUCAGGGAACGUUGUAUACAGCAGGGUAUUCAAGUAGAUAUAUCAUAACUUAGAGCUGAUUUCACAUCAACAUAAUGAAUAUUUAUGAAGCUAUGACUGUUUGAAUUUUAAGAAACAGUCAAAUAAUUAUCGAGAGUACGAAACAAAAAUUUUGAAAACAAUAAUACAAAAUAGGCCUACUGUACCAACAAAAAUGCAUGUAAAUCUUUGCUUCAUAUCAAUUACAAAUUUUUUUCGUGAAAUCACUCAUCAUUUUAUACACUUGAAAUAGGAAACAGUUUUUUACAUUAUUUUAUGUCGCUUUUUGUGUCUAUACAACUCGUACAUUUUGGUAGAAUUUAUUCUCCUUGCGAAUUUUUGUUAAUAUGUUUUCUUAUUCCCCAUAAUUACUUGAUAAUCAUUUAAGAUUCUGAUUGUUAUAACUAUAAAUAUCCAGAAUCUGAUCUAUGUUUUUAUUCAUAAUCAUCCUAGAAAUUAGUUCCUUAUAAUAUAGCUUAUGUAUUCUGCUGUAUAAAUCAAUAUCAAAUUGGAUUCACAACUUGACUGACUAGUUCCAUAUUAGUCCAUAACUUUGUUUAGACUAGUGGUAGAGUGUGUUUACAUGGUAGAGUGUGUAAGAAAUUUUCAGGUUUUUUUGCUAGUCAUAGUUCGUGUUUCUUAUAUGGGAAUAUGUGCUACUUUUCUUUAUUAAUAAAGCUUACACAAUUAGAAAGUUGGUAACUGUUGACUUAGACUUCUGAAUUUUUAAAAAGCUGUUUUCCAUAAAUUUUUGAUUCUUUCAAGAAGCUUUUUUCUCAAUAUCUUAAUUGAUACGUGAAAUUUGUGUAUACGUAGAUUUAAAUAUUUCGGCG
RNAcentral lists this long non-coding RNA (1865 nucleotides) under Androctonus crassicauda. Lineage: Eukaryota; Metazoa; Arthropoda; Arachnida; Scorpiones; Buthidae. The record is from RNAcentral.